GUAGGUGGCAAGCGUUGUCCGGAAUUAUUGGGCGUUAAAGCGCGCGCAGGUGGGUUCUUUAAGUCUGAUGUGAAAGCCCCCGGGCUCAACCGGGGAGGGCAUUGGAAACUGGGGAACUUGAGUGCAGGAGAGGAAAGUGGAAUUCCACGUGUAGCGGUGAAAUGCGUAGAUAUGUGGAGGAACACCAGUGGCGAAGGCGACUUUCUGGCCUGUAACUGACACUGAGGCGCGAAAGCGUGGGGAGCAAACAGGAUUAGAUACCCUGGUAGCCCACGCCGUAAACGACGAGUGCUAAGUGUUGGGGGGUUUCCGCCCCUCAGUGCUGCAGCUAACGCAUUAAGCACUCCGCCUGGGGAGUACGGUCGCAAAGACUG
RNAcentral lists this ribosomal RNA (374 nucleotides) under uncultured organism. RNAcentral describes it as "partial 16S ribosomal RNA". It matches the Rfam family "Bacterial small subunit ribosomal RNA", at positions 527 to 896 of the family's 1533-position model. The record is from RNAcentral.